UAGGGAAUCUUCGGCAAUGGACGGAAGUCUGACCGAGCAACGCCGCGUGAGUGAAGAAGGUUUUCGGAUCGUAAAGCUCUGUUGUAAGAGAAGAACGAGUGUGAGAGUGGAAAGUUCACACUGUGACGGUAUCUUACCAGAAAGGGACGGCUAACUACGUGCCAGCAGCCGCGGUAAUACGUAGGUCCCGAGCGUUGUCCGGAUUUAUUGGGCGUAAAGCGAGCGCAGGCGGUUAGAUAAGUCUGAAGUUAAAGGCUGUGGCUUAACCAUAGUAGGCUUUGGAAACUGUUUAACUUGAGUGCAAGAGGGGAGAGUGGAAUUCCAUGUGUAGCGGUGAAAUGCGUAGAUAUAUGGAGGAACACCGGUGGCGAAAGCGGCUCUCUGGCUUGUAACUGACGCUGAGGCUCGAAAGCGUGGGGAGCAAACAGGAUUAGAUACCCUGGUAGUCCACGCUGUAAACGAUGAGUGCUAGGUGUUAGGCCCUUUCCGGGGUUUAGUGCCGUAGCUAACGCAUUAAGCACUCCGCCUGGGGAGUACGACCGCAAGGUUG
RNAcentral lists this ribosomal RNA (550 nucleotides) under uncultured bacterium. RNAcentral describes it as "bacterial SSU rRNA". It matches the Rfam family "Bacterial small subunit ribosomal RNA", at positions 355 to 896 of the family's 1533-position model. The record is from RNAcentral.